RNAcentral lists this ribosomal RNA (490 nucleotides) under uncultured bacterium. Its description in RNAcentral is "partial 16S ribosomal RNA". It matches the Rfam family "Bacterial small subunit ribosomal RNA", at positions 30 to 507 of the family's 1533-position model. The record is from RNAcentral.
AUUGAACGCUGGCGGCAGGCCUAACACAUGCAAGUCGAACGGUAACAGGAAGAAGCUUGCUUCUUUGCUGACAAGUGGCGGACGGGUGAGUAAUGUCUGGGAAACUGCCUGAUGGAGGGGGAUAACUACUGGAAACGGUAGCUAAUACCGCAUAACGUCGCAAGACCAAAGAGGGGGACCUUCGGGCCUCUUGCCAUCGAAUGUGCCCCGAUGGGAUUAGCUAGUAGGUGGGGUAACGGCUCACCUAGGCGACGAUCCCUAGCUGGUCUGAGAGGAGGACCAGCCACACUGGAACUGAGACACGGUCCCGACUCCUACGGGAGGCAGCAGUGGGGAAUAUUGCACAAUGGGCGCGAGCCUGAUGCAGCCAUGGCGCGUGUAUGAAGAAGGCCUUCGUGUUGUAAAGUACUUUCCGCGGGGAGGAAGGGAGUAAAGUUAAUACCUUUGCUCAUUGACGUUACCCGAAGAAGAAGCACCGGCUAACUCCGUG